RNAcentral lists this ribosomal RNA (525 nucleotides) under uncultured bacterium. RNAcentral describes it as "bacterial SSU rRNA". It matches the Rfam family "Bacterial small subunit ribosomal RNA", at positions 8 to 526 of the family's 1533-position model. The record is from RNAcentral.
AGAGUUUGAUCAUGGGUCAGAUCGAACGUCGGCGGAAUGCUUUACACAUGCAAGUCGAGCGGCAGCGCGGGGGCAACCCUGGAGGCGAGCGGCGAACGGGUGAGUAAUACAUGGGAACGUGUCUUUAAGUGGGGGAUAGCUGGGGGAAAGCCGGAUUAAUACCGCAUAAGCUGUGAGGAGGAAAGCGGGGGAUUCGCAACGACCUCGCGCUGUUGGAGCGGCCGAUGUCGGAUUAGUUAGUUGGUGGGGUAAAGCCCCACCAAGGCGACGAUCCGUAGCUGCUCUGAGAGGAUGAUCAGCCCCACUGGAAUUGAGACACGGUCCAGAUUCUUACGGGAGGCACCAGUGGGGAAUUUUGGCCAAUGGGGGCAACCCUGAUCCAGCCAUUCCGCGUGAGUGAAGAAGGCCUUCGGGUUGUAAAGCUCUUUCAGACGGAACGAAAUGGUUACGGCUAACACGUCAGAAGGAUGACGGUACCGUAAGAAGAAGCACCGGCUAACUACGUGCCAGCAGCCGCGGUAAUAC